GAGGAGGACAGAUUGAGUGAGUCUGGGCCUGAGGAGCACUGUUUUAGAGAUAAGAUGAAAUGUUCUGCAUUGAGGAAGAAGUCCCCUCCAAGGAGGAUGUGUGCUGCUGCAAAGAUCCAACAGCAGGCAGAAAGGGGGAACUCACUUCCAAGACAGCACUAUGCAACUGAGAAUUGGAUCCAACUUCAGUCAGACAAGGUGAGAAGACCAAAGAGUGCCAUAAUGGAAGGGAGGGGAGGCAGCAUGGGACAAACACUCUGGAAUCUGGCCACCCCUCUUUGUCACAGAAGUGUCACACCCCAGACACUAACUAAAGCCUAAAAAUCCUAUGGCCAUGAUCACCCUAUACCUGCUGGUCAUCAUUUAAAACUAUCUCUUCUCCUACCUUAGCCAGAGUCCACUUUUCAUGUUACUCUCACUAAGGUAAAGAUCACUUCUUUCUCCUUGUAGGGAGAGUAUUCAAAAAUAUACAAUAUUAGAAUAAGAACCCCAAGCCACGUGGACCUUGGCACCACCUUCUCCAAACUCUUAUAUGAAUUGGCCAGCAGGUUGUUUCCUUGCUUGACUUAGAGCUGAAAGCCAAAGAAUGAGUAGGUUGCAGUGGAGGACAGGAUCCUACAACCUUCUUUCCUACUCUGUGAGGGAAGGAAUUAGAAAGGAGGAAGUCAAGUCAGUCACUUUUCCAACCAGACUCACUCCAAUAUUCUUUGCAAGUGUUAGUAGAUGAAGUCAAAAAGAUUGGUCAGAACAGACUAAGAUGUCACAGACUAUAAAGUGUGCAGCUGUGCCUCAGCUUGAGGGGUGAGCAUUAUAGAUGGCAGGUGAUAUCUGACCUGUGGGGCUUUGUUCUUCAAUGACAACUAGGAGGACGACAGAUUGAGUGAGUCUGGGCCUGAGGAGCACUGUUUUAGAGAUAAGAUGAAAUGUUCUGCAUUGAGGAAGAAGUCCCCUCCAAGGAGGAUGUGUGCUGCCGCAAAGAUCCAACAGCAGGCAGAAAGGGAGGAGGACAGAUUGAGUGAAUCCGAGAUUGAGAAAAAGAAUCUGUGGGAAAAGGUGGAAUGUUCUCCAUUGAUGAAGGCCUCCCCUCCAAAGAGGAUGUGUGCUGCUGCAAAGAUCCAACAGCAGGCAGAAAAGGGGAACUCACUUCCAAGACAGUACUAUGCAACUGAGAAUUGGAUCCAACUUCAGUCAGACAAGGAGGACGACAGAUUGAGUGAAUCUGAAAUUGAGAAAAAGAAUCUGUGGGAAAAGGUGGAAUGUUCUCCAUUGAUGAAGGCCUCCCCUCCAAAGAGGAUGUGUGCUGCUGCAAAGAUCCAACAGCAGGAAGAAAGGGAGGAGGACAGAUUGAGUGAAUCUGAAAUUGAGGAAAAGAGUCUGUGGGAAAAGAUGGAAUGUUCUCCAUUGAUGAAGGCCUCCCCUCCAAAGAGGAUGUGUGCUGCUGCAAAGAUCCAACAGCAGGAAGAAAAGGUGAGUCAGAUCCAAGAGAAGCUGAGUGUUGGGGAAGAAGGAACACCUCUGCUCAGUCACUCAAUCAAUCUAGUCACACAUCCUUUGUCAGCCAGGUAG
RNAcentral lists this long non-coding RNA (1566 nucleotides) under Monodelphis domestica (gray short-tailed opossum). RNAcentral's name for it is "lncRNA (ENSMODG00000038187.1)". Lineage: Eukaryota; Metazoa; Chordata; Mammalia; Didelphimorphia; Didelphidae. The record is from RNAcentral.